UCAAUAGCCUAACGGCUGAACCAGCAACUUGGAGGAACGUAUAGUGAAAACUAGUUGUGCCAAUAGUUUAUAGGUACAAUAUCGACUUAGUCGAAUAAAGUUCUAAGUAGAGUUUUGAUAAUGACAUUAUCUACUUAUGUGUCUUGACCAAAUUACGUGCCAGCAGUCGCGGUAAUACGUAGAAGACUAGUGUUAUUCAUCUUUAUUAGGUUUAAAGGGUACCUAGACGGUAAAUAAAGCCUUAGUUGGGACUAAUUUACUAGAGUUACUUAUGAGGGAGUAUUAAAGUACUAGUGGUGGAGAGAUAAAAUUCUGUGAUACCUUUUUUCGUGAGAAAAGUAACGGCACAGGUAUAGGCGAAAGCAUCUCCUUAUGUGAUAACUGA
Molecule: ribosomal RNA, 385 nt
Filed under: Micarea subnigrata
Lineage: Eukaryota; Fungi; Ascomycota; Lecanoromycetes; Lecanorales; Micareaceae
Description: SSU rRNA
Rfam family: Bacterial small subunit ribosomal RNA
Source: RNAcentral